This 502-nucleotide ribosomal RNA is filed under the name uncultured bacterium. Its description in RNAcentral is "partial 16S ribosomal RNA". It matches the Rfam family "Bacterial small subunit ribosomal RNA", at positions 355 to 865 of the family's 1533-position model. The record is from RNAcentral.
UGGGGAAUAUUGCACAAUGGGCGAAAGCCUGAUGCAGCGACGCCGCGUGAGGGAUGACGGCCUUCGGGUUGUAAACCUCUUUCAGCAGGGAAGAAGCGAAAGUGACGGUACCUGCAGAAGAAGCGCCGGCUAACUACGUGCCAGCAGCCGCGGUAAUACGUAGAGCGCAAGCGUUGUCCGGAAUUAUUGGGCGUAAAGAGCUCGUAGGCGGUUAGUCGCGUCUGCUGUGAAAAGCUCGAGGCUCAACCUCGGGCUUGCAGUGGGUACGGGCUGACUAGAGUGCGGUAGGGGUGACUGGAAUUCCUGGUGUAGCGGUGGAAUGCGCAGAUAUCAGGAGGAACACCGAUGGCGAAGGCAGGUCACUGGGCCGCAACUGACGCUGAGGAGCGAAAGCAUGGGGAGCGAACAGGAUUAGGAUACCCUGGUAGUCCAUGCCGUAAACGUUGGGCACUAGGUGUGGGGUCCAUUCCACGGAUUCCGUGCCGCAGCAAACGCAUUAAGU